This 2373-nucleotide ribosomal RNA is filed under the name Triticum aestivum (bread wheat). Its description in RNAcentral is "partial small subunit ribosomal RNA". The record is from RNAcentral. Lineage: Eukaryota; Viridiplantae; Streptophyta; Magnoliopsida; Poales; Poaceae.
AUGGAGGAACUGAAUGUUGAAGGAGCGCAGAAAGUGGAGGAACUGAAUGUCAAAGGGGUGCAGCAAGAGGAGGAACUGAAUGUUAAAGGGGUACAUCAAGUAGCUGUUGUUCCAGACACUGCCGGCUCACUGGAAAACUUGACUGAUUCAAAGCCUCUUGUUUCUGUUGUUUUUACUGAAAGUUCCCCAGAUGGUCAUAACAGACAUUUAAGUGAAGAUUUAAGUUCGCUUACAAUUAAUAAUAUACGUGUGAAUGGGGAGGAGAUUUGCCACAACCAAUCUAAGGGGAAUGGUCACAAUAGAAAUUUCAGUGAAGAUAUAGGUUCCCUUACAAUUAAUGAAUGUCGUGCAAACAAAGUAGAGGAAAAUUGUCAUGACCAGCUUGAAGGGAAGGAACAACAACAAAUUAGUCGCCAUAACUCAGCUGAAAGAAACAUUUUUAAGGCAGCGGAGAUCGCCGAACGUUUCAUUCAGGCUCUAGAUAAUAGAGUUCUUGUUGAAACUGCAGCACCGAUUGAAUCUGUUAAAGAUGCUGUUAGCAAAUUUGGAGGGAUUCUUGACUGGAAAGAGAGGCGUAAAAAUGUUCAACUCAAACUUGACAAGGUGCGGGAAGAAGGCCCCGAGUACCAGAGAAGAUUCAUAGCUGAAGAAGUUGAGAAAAGCAAAGUUCUGCAGGAGCUGUGUAGCACCAGGCGGAUCAUAGAAGGGCUGAAAUUAAGCCUGGAGAAAGCACAAACUGGAGCAUUGCAAGCACAGCAAGAUGCAGAGCUCGCUGAGAUACGAUACAAAGAGAUACAACAGGGUAUUGCUCGCAAAGAGAGUGCUGCAGUGAAGGCAGAGAUUGUUCUUGCCAAAGAACGCUACGCGACUGCCUUAGCAGACUUGCAGUCAGUUAAAGAGGAGCUAGAGCAGCUUGAGAAGGAACACACAGCUUUAAUUACACAUAGGGAGAAUGCUGAGAUUAGAGCACAUGAAUCCACUGCCGCGUCUCAGGAGAUUGAGAAGAUCGUGGAGGACCUUACCCUUGAGCUCAUCUCACUGAAAGAGUCACUUACCUCUUCGCACGCUACCCACAUUAUAGCAGAGGAGCGAAGAAUAAAUGUGGCUUUGGCGUAUGAGCAAGAAAAGCUGGAUUCGCAGAAUGAGUUGAAGCAAGCUGAGGAGGAGAUUCAAAAGCUGAAUGGCGAGAUCUCGGCCAAUAAAGAUCUUGAGUCUAAGCUAGAAGCUGCUUCUGCGUUGCUGGCAAAUCUGCAAAGUGACUUUACUGCUUAUAUGGAAGGGAUACUGCCUGAGAAGGAAAGCGAGGUUGGAGAGAAAGUGCGAUCCAUGGUUAGUGUCCAGAUGAAGCUGGCAAAGACCAGGAAAGAGCUUGACGAUAUGAGGACAAACAUCGAAACGGACAAGGAUGAGGUGAAAGGGCUGUGGAAUACUGCUGCUGCAUUACGAGCUGAUCUAGAGAAGGAGAAGGCAGACCUCACAGCAUUGAAAGAUAAAGUGCAUCAUGCAACAGUUUCUGUCUCGUCUCUCCAGGAAGAACUGAGAAAGACGAUGCGUGAACUCAGCGUUGUACAGGAGAGAACAGAAGCGGCUAAAAUGCCCAUAGAGCUACAGAAGGCUACUCAAGAAACACAACUAGCAAAGGCGAAGGCUCGGUUGGCCUGCGAUGAGGUUACAAGGGCUAGUGAAGAGGCAGACCGAGCUAAGGCAGAUGUCAACAUUGUCCAGUUGAAGCAAGAAGCAGUUUCAAGGGAGAUACUCGCGGUUAAAGCAUCAGAAGAGAUUGCAAUGGCCUCAGCAAAUGCACUGCAAGAAUACAAAGAGGAGGGAGAAAUAGAUCCCCAAGCUAACCGAGGAAGUGACAAGAGCAUGAUGGUACCACUUGAAGACUACGAUGCGUUGAACAAGAGAGCAAAGGAAGCCGAUGACCGAGCUAAGAAGCGGGUUAUGGAGGCAGUUGAGAAGAUCAAGGAGGCCAAGGAGGGAGAGGUGAGGAGCUUGGAUAAGUUGCAUCAGCUGACCAAACAGAUUGAUGAAAGGAGGGAGGCGCUGAGGGACGCGCAUGAGAAAGUCAUCACAGCACAAGACAACAAGUUGACAAUGGAGAACGAGCUGAGGAAAAGAAGAGCCAAGCAUGGCCAACAUUACACGGCGGGCGAUGCCGAUCUCGCGAUUCCCGGUGUCUGCCUUCUGAAUGAUAGUGCAUGCUCUUUUGAUGCAGCGGGAUCGUCUGCUUCUCAUGCGCAAGGAGGAGGCCUAGGUAGAGCCGACACCAUCGCGACAACUGCAGCAGCAGAGCCAAAGGCGCGGAAGUCCUUCUUCCCUCGCUCCAUAGCGAUGAUGUUCAUGAAUAGGAAGAAGACACAUUCGAAGUGA